Molecule: unclassified non-coding RNA, 786 nt
Filed under: Pomacea canaliculata
Lineage: Eukaryota; Metazoa; Mollusca; Gastropoda; Architaenioglossa; Ampullariidae
Description: serine/arginine-rich splicing factor 3-like, transcript variant X2
Source: RNAcentral
UUACAGGUAAAAACAGGUAAUGCGCAUGCGCGCAGCAGGUGUAAUAUCCGCACUAAGGUGUAAUAAGGUGUUUGUUGUCUGCAAGAUGUCACACCCAAGAGACUGGAAUCUAGACUGCAAAGUCUAUGUGGGAGAACUUGGGCAUGGUUGCCCGAAGCAUGAACUUGAGGAAAAAUUUUCAAAAUAUGGUACACUAAAGAAUGUGUGGGUAGCCCGGAGACCAGCUGGAUUUGCUUUUGUUGAGUUUGAUGAUCCUCGUGAUGCAGAAGAUGCUGUUCGAGCUCUGGAUGGAACGCGAAUCAAUGGCCGCAGAGUUCGAGUUGAAAUGUCUACUGGAAGGUCACGCAGAGGUAGAGGAUUUGGAGGUCCUCCACCAAGGGGACGACCUGUGUAUGAUGAAUAUCGGUUCUCACGCAGGCACAAGCUCAUCUUUAUCUGCGCUCAUCUGGGCAUCUGAAAUCAACUGCCUAAUCUUCUCCCAGUCAGCCAUAGUCUGCUGAGCAAACCUCAGCAUCUGCUUCCAUAGCACCGUUUCAACACGUGCACCGGCACACCAUGCAUCCACCCUGCCCGUCUGUCUGCCCUUCUUUUCAGCGAGAAGCCUCAGCUUGGCCACAUCUGCCCUUCACUGUCAGCGCGGACUCCCCUUAAUAGUCACCUUCACCACGUAGGCCACGCAGCAGAAGUCGAUCCUUUUCUCCUGUUCGUGGUAAACGGAGUAGUCGCAGUGGCAGUCGAGACCAUGUCCGCCAGCACAGUGCAAGCCGAAGUCCCACUCGCAGCCGG